This is a non-coding RNA of Schistocerca serialis cubense, 77 nucleotides long. The record is from the annotation of a RefSeq genome assembly. NCBI's taxonomy places the organism in Eukaryota, Metazoa, Arthropoda, Insecta, Orthoptera, Acrididae.
GGCCGGGGUGGCCGAGUGGUUCUAGGCGCUACGGUUUGAAACCGCUAGAGUCGCAGGUUCGAAUCCUGCCUCGGCCA